This is a long non-coding RNA of Vidua macroura (Pin-tailed whydah), 179 nucleotides long. RefSeq lists it as uncharacterized. Lineage: Eukaryota; Metazoa; Chordata; Aves; Passeriformes; Viduidae. The record is from RefSeq and is a predicted model, not a curated record. The transcript has 3 exons.
AGAAGGAGGAGUUAAAGAAGUUGCUACUUUUUGUCACAUCCUGAAGGUGGCCCUUGCUAGGUGGACCGAUCCUAAGUUUCAUCCUUUGGCUACCAAUAUGAAGAUGUAACUCCUAACACGUACCAGUGACAUCAUCAACUAAGUUCUCUCAGUGUUUUCCAGUUUGUCAGUAAAAUAUU